Long non-coding RNA from Bubalus bubalis (water buffalo), 1693 nucleotides. RefSeq lists it as uncharacterized. NCBI's taxonomy places the organism in Eukaryota, Metazoa, Chordata, Mammalia, Artiodactyla, Bovidae. The transcript is spliced from 3 exons. The record is from RefSeq and is a predicted model, not a curated record.
GUGGUGACCGGGCCCUGCAGGACCAAGGCGAAGUUGGCGAGGAAGACGAGUGGCUCCACGCAGCCGCGGCACAGCACGGACCGGUGGGCGGGACGGAGCCAGGACUGAAUCUUUUUCCUGGGAAGCUAAUCUGUUUCUGGGGCUGGGUCAUGGCUCUACAGUGCCCUUGGAGGAGCAGAGAAGGAGGAGGAGGAGAUGGUGGAGGACCUGGGAGGCCCUUAAGUGCGGCCCUGUGCUCUUUGGUGCUCCUACUGCAGAAAUAGGGGCAGAAGGCUGUCAGAUCUCUAUCUGGCCCUGUUUUAUUGACUGUAAAAGAGAAUAGUACUACUUGACUUUCUUCCUUAUCAGUGCAUUUGUUGAAUACCCCUUGUAUGUUGGGGACCAUGGCCAGGAGAGGCCCUGGAAACACUGCAAUGUAAAGAGAAAAAAAAAUGUUGCCUGCCAUUCCAGUUCUAUAGGGAUCAAGCCAUUAGCAGCUAUAGUCACUCACCAUCCACCCUAGGACAGUAUACCUGAAGGACCUUCUGUACUUUGAACCCCACCCUUAGAUAGUUGAGAUCAUUUAGGGAAAAAUCUCAGUGAUCCCAGAUUCUUGUGUCUUCCCAUACACUGAAAAGUUGUUGUUGUUGUGUCAGUAAGUCGUGUCUGACUCUGCGAGUACUCAAAUCUCUUUGUGGUUUGCUGUUAAUUUUCUUAUGUUUGACUGUUUGUGUCUUUACCUGUUUUUGUUUUUGUUUUUGUUUUGUCUAUACCUUGAAGGAUGUGGAACUUACCUGCAUCCCCUGCAGUGGAAACCAGGAGUCUUAACCACUGAAUCACCAGGGAAGACCCUCAGCUAGAUGUUUUUCUUUGCAUCGGGUGACCGAUUAGUGGCUAAUGGCUUGACCCUUAUAGAAAUGAAAUGGCAGGCAACAUUUUUUUUUUUAAAUCCUAUUGUGUUUCCAGAACUCCUCCCACCCCACCCCACCCAACCCCCCAAUAUAGUCCUAGACAUACAGAAAAACUCACAUAUAUCCUGGUUUCUCUGUUGCCUCUUCAGAACUGUUUCUCAGAGCUCAGUAAGAAACUGAAUAAACCCAACUCACAGUUCUAAUGUGCGUUUUUUGCAAGUUGACAGCAAUGAGGGAACAAAGCCCUCACUGGGGAGAGGGGCGGUGUGGGCUGUAGUUUGUAGAAUGGUGGGGGAGAGACAUCAAACAGUCCUACUAAUCCAUGUAGGAUUUGAACUGCAGAAAGCGCUUUAGAGGAGACAAGCUGUGGGGCUCUAAGGGCACAAAUUCAGGAGCCUGGCCAGGUCUGGAAGGAGCUAAACCAGGAAAGGCUACCUUCCCUGACAACAGGGCAGCUGACUGGAUUUCUAGAGGCAAGCCUUGUGCCAUGACCCAUAGGCCUGAUUCUUGGGAUGGUGGGGGCUCCAUUUCUGGCCAUCAUGGCUAUGUGUGAGUUCGUUGCUGGCUUAUUAAUUAUCGCCUACCUCCCCUGAGCCAAAAGGAGCCCCAGGCUGAGACAAGGUAGAUGCUAGCUAGAUAUGGUAGACUAAGGGAUGCCUGUACCCCCAACAGCCAUCACCAUCCUCAGCUCUUCCUGAAGUGAGGUGAAAGUCACUCAGUUGUGUCCAACUCUUUGUGACCCCAUGGACUAUACAGUCCAUGGAAUUCUCCAUCCAGAAUACUGGGAUGGGUAGCCAUUCCCU